UUUUUUUUUUUUUUUUUUUUUAACGUUUUGCAAAAUGCAGCUAUCAAGAUUCGAACUCAAGACCUUUGUAAUAAAAGACCAAUAUAGUAACCAUUGCACCAUCACAUCUUAUCAAUUUUUUUUGAUAACUUAUUUAUAUAAAACAAAAACGCAUAUUUCUUUUUGUCAUUUUUUUUACAAAAUCUAAUUCUCUCAUGGCUCUUUCUUUUUAAUCUUCAACACACACACACACACACACUCUCACUCUCUCCUCUUUUUUUUUUUGUCACUCUUUUUUUAAUCAAACCACUUUAUUUUUAAUUUAUUGAUGUUUUCUUCCAUCUUUUAAUUUUAUUUUUGUCCAUUAAAUUGAAAAAGGUUAAAAAAGAAUUAUUUUUCUUUAACCCAAAUUAUUUAAUGCCACAACUACUCACUUUUAUCUCAUUUUUUUAUUUCUUAUCAAGUUUGCAUUUCUAUUUUCGAUUCUCUUGAUUUCUUUCGAACUCCAAAAUUCCUUUUUUAAAUUGCAAUCUCUAAAUCCCAAAACGUAAAUUAAAAUUUAAGUUCACAAAAUCUAAAUUCUCAUAGACAUGAAUUUUGUAUAAUUUUAAAAUAUUAUGAUAUUUUUUGGUUAGAUCUAAGAUUUUUUUGGUAGAUAUAAUUGAAAUUGAAAUGAAAUUUAUUUAUUUUAACUUAUAAUUUAAAAUUUUUAUUUUUAAAAAAUCAAGUUAUUCAAAAAUAGUAAACUUUUCAUCAUAUAAUGUAUUAAAUUAGUCCAUUACAUGUCUUAUUUUGUACAUAAAUAUUUAUAUAAAUUAUUUUUUAAAAAAUUCAUUGAAUCGAGGUUGAACCGGUCCGAUCGGCUGAAUCUCGACCCUUUCACGUCAUCGAUUCAAUUAAGGGUCCGAUUUUUAAAACAUUGGUAAAUAAAGCCCGCAGGCCCGUUUUACCGGCACUCCUAACUCCUAAGAGUUGCCGAUCGGCCGUACCUCUUUUCCUCGAUGAAUAUGUUGAUUCGUAAUUUGUUGUCUCCUCCUCCGUCUUAAACCCUACUGAGAGUGGCAGAAUCCCAAUUGAUUGAAUCAUCCAUGGCUAUGAUUUCCCACUUGCCCCGUGAUUUGCUUGGUGACAUUCUAAAAUUUCUGCCAGUCAAGGCCCGUCUGUCGAUUCAAAUGCGUAUCGAAAUCAUGGCAUUCUGUAAUCCAGAGUCGUGAAUUUGUGAAGUUGCACCUUCAGAUUCACCAGCACAAGUGUGACGGUGAGAAAAUCUUUAUGCCAACUCAAUUUUGCUCUGCUUAUAAUGAUCCUGAUUUUUACAUCUUGGACACAUCGAGUUUAGCUGGUAGUGAAAAUCCCAGAGCUCAAAAAGUUGAAAUUCCCGUAGGAAGGCGUUGUAUUCUUCUAUCUACAAUUGUUUGUGCUUGUAAUGGUUUGCUCUUUAUUGCUUUGGAUAAUGAAAGGGUUUUGUUCGUGUGGAACCCCUCCACGGGAAAAUUGAGAAGGAUUCCAACACUGAAGUCAUCAUCAUCACAUUUUGAUCUGUUAUAUGGGUUUGGAUAUGAUUCACUGCAUGAUGAUUACAAAAUUCUUAGAGUUUGUUACGACAAUGGUACCUAUGAUUGUUGGUUGUUUUCGUUGAAAGAAAAUACCUGGAGAAAAUUAAAUGAUCGGGUUCUGAAUGGUUAUGGGACUUGCAACAUCGAUCAGGUUUUGAAUGAUGCUUACACUGGGGCUGAAAAACGUGCUGUUAUUGUCUGUGUUAAUGAUUCCGCCUACUUUAUCGUGCAAAAAGAAGGAAAGAAGUAUAAAGUUUUGUCUGUCAGUUUGGCUGAAGAAAGAUUUGUUGAGAUGUUGCCUCCUCCUUGUGAGGUUGUGGGAGCUGUCCCAAUCUUGAAGGUUUUGGCAGGACGGCUUAGUCUGCAAUGGAGGACUUCUGCCAACCACGAUUUUGUGGUGUGGACAUUGAUGGAUGAUGGAAAUAGCAGCUAUUGGACUAAGAUUAUAUCUAUUCUGUGUUCGGAAACACUGGUGGGCCUGGAACCAAUUUGCAUGAUGCGAAAUGGACAUUUUGUGGUUAGGACGAAGCCUGAAAGGGAACUUUUCAUAUAUGACAUGAAAAAGAAGGCAUUUCAACAAGUAUUCAAGAAUGAGAAUCCAGAUGUUCAUAUCUGCAGUUUCAAGAAUACUGUGGUAUACACAGAAAGUUUAGUUCAUCCGUGUGAUUAUGGGGACAAGGUUGAGGAGUGGACGUCAGCAAUUGAAGACAUGAAAGAGGUUGGUUUCUUGCUGCCUUAUCAUUUGUUUGAUCAACUGCUUGUUUCAUCUUGUUUGGUGUUUGUUAACUUUUGUUCAGUUUAUCUGAAUCAAAAAGUAAUAAGUUGCAAAUCUUCUUACUCAGUAGUACUGAAUUUUUGUGUUUUAAAGACGGCGCUUAUUGAUUAAGAUAGAAAUCCUACAUGUAGAUCUGAUUACAAGAAUACUGUUUUUUAUCUAACUAUGUAAACUUAGCCAGUUGAACUAGCUCAUAUAUCUAAGGUUAAUGAGUGUAGAAAACUAAUGAGGAAUAAGUUCUUGAUUUUAUAUGUAGAUUCAGCCAAUAGAGGAGAUUGAUUACCACAUAAAAUACUCUAGUAAUGAGAUGUGAAACCUGUAGGCUGUAAUAAUUAAUGUUUGUUUGUCAUAUAUCCUCCAUCAUGAAUAGAUUCCUGAGCCAAGUCAUUCUUUUCAUUCCAUGAAUAAAAUUGGAAAGGAACACAAUCUGCAUUAUUUUGUUCUCUCUAUAUUUAUAUGCCAUUACAGCAAGUAUAUAGUCUCUAUCCUAACCAGUAUUUUUUUUUUCUGAUCUUCCCGUCUCAGUCUUUAAUGUUGCAGACUAAGAGGCAAUUCUCUUCCUGCUGUGGUGAGUGCUGACUGGACACACACACACACACACUUCCUGCUCAUUGCACAACAAACAUCAAGAAGCAAAAUUUCUUUCUAUUUGGGAACAACGGCGGCCAGCAGAACAUUUUCUUUAGGUUUUUUUAUGAUAAAGUGCUUGUGUUCAAGUCCAGAGCUUGAAUACAAAACCUCAUUUUGUCGCACCAAGCAUUCACCCUUUUUUGUGUUGAGAUUCAAAUUAUGUUUCAGCAGAAGUUUAGACAUGUAUAACCUCAUUGUUUAACAAAGUGAAAGCUGUGACUUACAUGAAUAGUUUAGUUUUGCCCAAGCGAUCAUGGAAACAAUUUUGGAAAUAAUAGAUCAGCAAUCAAUUUCAAUCCAGGGGAAGGCUAUGUUCUUGUUUUCUCUCGUGAUUUUCUUGUGGAGUGCCUUUUAGUCUUGUCAACCUCACCACUUACUGACCAGAAAUCCAUGGUGUACUCGAGCCAGAAAGCAGUUGCUACUUGCGUUGUGCUUUAAUUGGCACCUUCUUGUGUUUCAAAAUAUGGUUUACGAUUAAAGAGGACAUCUUGCUUGUUUUACUCCACACACUCUUUAAUUUAAAUGCUCUGCUAGACACCUUCCUGUUCUUCAAGUUCGUACUUUUCAUACUUUAUUGUUUUUUUUUAAUGGCUAUGUGUAUUGACAUUUUGUCAAAUUUAAUCCUUGAUGUUAUGUAAUAUAUAUUGCCAACAAAGCCAUCUUGUUGAAAUACAUUAUUAUUAUUAUUAUCAUAUCCUUUUCAAAUCUUAAUUUUACAUCCAUCCCUGGCCUGGUUCUCCUCCUCUGCCUAUGCCUAGUAGGGUAUUGUACCAGCUUUCUUUCUAACUGCAUGGCCUCUAUCAUCCGUGAUCUGCAUAUAAAGAUUAUCAUUCAUUUUCCUAAAGCUACCCACUCCAGUCUACAUUUAGGAAAUUCAAAUCAAUUUCAACAUCACCAAGCAUCCAAUUGAAGCUUCCUUCAAACAAAAAUCAAGGUAAAGACCUUCGAGUUCUUUCGCCAUCCAAGGGCAAUCUUUACAACACACAUCUUCAGCCAAAGCUUUGUUGAAAACGUCUAAUGGCUUUUAUCUUUCCCAGCCCGCCAAAAAUGGCAGAAAAAAUGUCGUCCCGCAGAAGUUGAGGCGAAAGUCCCAUUGGAAUUCUUCAUUUACAGCUCGGUUAUGAUAUUCAAGCUCAUAAGAUUGGCAAAGGAUGAUUAAGGGAAUGGUGUUAUUAGGCAGACCAUUGGUGACACGAACUUGAUAUCUGGGGGAGAAAAGAUGAGAAAUCACCUGAAUAUAUGGGGGGGCAAAACACAAUGAACUAACUCCUACACGGAAAACUCUUGCUGGAUAUUUUAGAGCCCGAAAACAAAAUAGUAGUUUAGAUACAAUUAUGCCUAAUCAGAUGAUGUAAUUCCAGAUUCCAGCCAAUCAACUUCCUGACUACAGAAUUCCUAUGUACUUGGGAAUUUUAGGCAUAUUUGGGUGAGAAGAGGACAAAAUACUUAGGUUGUGUUUGGAUUGCAUUUUUCAUAGAAACAUUACUGUAGCGAUUUGAUGUAUGUGAGGGAAAAAGGUAAUAGGAAAAUGUGAUUACGAAAAACGACGUAAUUUUUCGACGAAAAACAGCAAUCCAACACAAGACCUUAGGUUUUUAUAUAUACUUAAAAAAAACUCCACACUCAUAUCUACUCAAUAAUCAAUUACACAAAGAUAACAAUAGAUAGCAAGCCAAAUUCCUAAUGCGUGCAUUGAAAUGUCAUCUAUCUAAUCAUAUCAAGGCUUUAAAUUUAGAACUUUAUUAUUUUGAGUCGCCGAAAAAUGACAAAUAUUGGGGAUGGAGGUAUUGAUUAGUAAAGUAAACAUAGGAAAUACAAAGAAAGCAAGACAGAAGGAAAAAGAAAAUUCGUAAUGGUAGCUUCCUAUACCAAUUAGAUAUAUGUGUAUAGUUACAUAUAUGUAUUCUUUAUUGCUCAUCAGAUACUACAUUUUUCAUUCCAUAAAAUAAGUAUACAUUAGUAUUUUGGGAAUUUACAUAUUUUGUCACAUUUUUAAUGUUAUACUUCUUUACACUACGUAAUAGAGUGACACAUGUUCCUUUAUUUUACAUUAAGGAUAGUUGCGGAUCAUGUAAGAAUAGUUGGUGGAUGAUGUCUUCUGGCUAAUAUUACGUCAAAAGGCACCAGCUCAUGUAAUUCUUUUUCACAAGAAAAGUGCAAUGGCUGAGUUUGUUCAUGAGAAACCAGCUCAUGAAAUUCUUUUUCAUAAAUGACCACGUGGAUUCUCAAACCUGCAGAGAUUAUAAAGCCAAAGGCUACCAGGUGUAUAUACACAAGCACAAAUGGAGAGAUUCUGGAAUUCGUCCACGAAAAUAAGGAGUCAUUCUCUUGUUUUACAAUAAGAAGCCAAAGAUCAAUAUUCCAAGAAAUAUUCCAAGUUCAAGAGACAGGUUUGGAAGGACCAAAACCUUUAGAGAAGUUCAAAGAAGCUGCACAACAAGUGUGCAUGACAGCCAAAAUAAUGACUACUAUAGACACCAAGGCUGAUAUAAGGAGUAGGAGGUCAAGCAUAAUUGUUUCUAACAAUCUGCAGGUAUAGAAUCAGUCUUCAACAGUCUUCCAUCCAUGGACACGAGACAUUUCAUGUUUGGAACACAAGAGACAAAGUCUUGGGGAGCGCAGAGCCGCAACACAUUUAAACUGUUCUCAAAGAGCAAUUGAUAUUAGUACCAUGAAACACAUUGUACAAGGGAUGAAACAGCAUAGGAUUCACUGCACUUCAUGUCAUAUAGCAACAGAUAAUCACCUCAGGGCCAUAAAUUAAUAUGAAAUGCAGUUUUUCCUAUUUAAAAAUCCCCAUCAGAAGGUUGAUGAGUACUUUAUGGCUUCUUUAGCUGAGGACAAGCAAGACAAUUCCAAGCUGUUUAUUUACUAGUAUGCCAAACCAAAGCGCUAACCUUAAUCUUGGUUCUCACAAAGAACAAUAAAAAAAAUCCAGAUCUUAUUAGACCUCCCAAUUUGCCCAAAACUAAGAAAGAAAAACUAAUUGAUCAGUGACAAGAUGGCAUGAAAAGUAUAGCAUAUAGCUACAUACUAGGUUGGCAAAAUCUAUCUAGCAACUGAGACACUAGAUUUUAUUUUCUAAACUAAACAGUAGCAAGAGAGACUUUACAUUAAGUGCAAAAUGAGAGCAAAAAAAAUACUAGUUGGAGGAAGGAAUGAGAUAACACUGAGCACUUAGAAGUCCAGAAAUCCCAAAUCGCUUGAUAAAUAAUUCCAAAUUGCUUCACCAACAAGUCCAAAUUUGAAAAUUUGAAUGGACUAACAGGGAAUACUUGAUUUUAUGCAAGACAAAUACUGGAUUUCAUGAAUGGAAUCUAAGCGAUGAGUUUACAGGGAAGCUCUGAAACUAGGAAAUGUUCAAAUUUUUUUUGGGGGGGGGGGGGGGGAGUGGAGGAAACUCAAGAGUCUGGCAUUUGUGUCUUAAGUUGGGUUUGUUUGAUUACAGCAGGUUGAAGUUCUUUUUCUUGCCAGGGCGAGGGCUGCUUUGGCUGGAGUUUGCAGCAACCAGGCAAAGAGCUUUGAGCUUCAACGGGCUUUGUGCCUCUGUUUUCUUGUUCUAGUUUGGACAAAUUUACCUGUUUUCUUGAACUACAAAUUGUUCAAGGCCUAAUAAGCUAGCAGUACUAGAGAAUUACUGGCGUUCUCCUGGUAGAAAGUCCUUUUUUCUACUAUGGACGUCAUAGUAUCAACAAAAGUCACAGUGAUUUGGAGCUAAAUUACACUUUUGCAUCAUGAAUAAACUGUCAAAGAAGAACCACUCGAAUGUAUGCAAUUUUAACAUCGUACAAAAGUGAACAUGAAGCCAGAAGAGAGAUUAGUCCCUAAUUCUUCUGUUGUUGUAUUCCCAUUUUACCUUAAAGUUGGCAAGCGACGAGAUUGAAACCAAUUACAGGGUCCACCUGUUGCUAAAUGUAUACUGAUUUAUCUUCAAUUUGUGAUCAUGGAAGUAGCUUCACUAUCUCAUGCUUUCUUGUAUAGAUACUCCUUUACUUUAUUUCAUGCUUGUACAGAGAAGUUGAUGGUUAGGCAUUCCCCUUAUCUGGUGUAUGUGAUUUUGCUAUCGAUAAAGAUAUAGAGAUUACAUAAAAUAAAUAAGAAGAUAAAUAAACACACAAAAAAUAAUGCAAUUUUGAGCUGCCGACUCUAACAUCAUCAGUUAUCAAAUGUGUUAAAGAAAGAAAAUGCUGCAAGAAUGAAAAUGUGCUAUAUAUAGUCGAGUGCCACAAAUGCAGAAUUAAGCUGUGUAGAUAACAAGAAUUGCAUCAGUUGGAAAAGGAGGACAAACCGUUUUUUUUCUUUUUUAAUCAAGAUGGUAGCUUGAUGGUAUUCAAUUGUCUCAUCUCGGUUUCUUACACCUCCUUCUUUGUUCUAUAGCAUCCUUCUCCUCCUUCUUUGUUCUAUAGCAUCCUUCUCCUCCUUCUUUGUUCUAUAGCAUCCUUCUCCUCCUUAGAGUAAGGCAAAACUAGGCUUUGUGUAUAAGGAAAGGCAUGAUAAACUUCUAUGUUUUGAUCUCGAAAUGGAAUAUCAACAUAUGCAGCAUUAUCUGGGUUGUAGCGUACCGACUUGGUGCCAGUUGACACUAAAACUUCACCGUCCUCUGACCGGCACAAUGGUCUAGAAAUCCCGCCAGGAUUAUUAAUCAGGAUAGCGAACUGCAUUUUCCACGAUUCUGUAACCCCAUAUAUCUCCAUCAUCCAAACAUCUGUAUGACCAUUAUCCACAGAACAAAGUAAACAAAGCUUUUCUUGGUAAACCUCCAAGACUGGCUCAAACAAAGAUUCAGAAUCUUCAUCACAUUUAAUUUCAGGUUUCUUCAUCUGUUCAGGUUUCUCUAUCCGUCCAUACGUCUCUGUUGUUAAAUCAAGGGAAACAAUAUCUCCACCAGCUUCUGCCUCCAGUGACCAAUGCAACUUCCCAUUCACAAAUGUACCAUCUACCCCCAGCGGAGGAUAACCACCUUGAAAAUCCCCUAUACGCUUCCAAAUUCCUUUCUUGGUGCUGUAGACCUUAACCUUAACCUUAACCUUAGGGACUUCGCCAUCCAUGGCCGUAGCAGCGCCUUGGUCAGCCUCGUACGCCACCGCUACUACUUUGUGAUCAUCCUCAAUCUUGUCAUAUCCAAAACCCCAUGAAAAUAUUAAGUACGUCACAACCGGUAAACCUUUAUCUUCCUCUACCCUAAUGCCUAAAUCCGGUACGAUCUUUGAUUUUCGAGUAGAUGGGUUCCACAAAAUUAUUUUAGUUCCGUCAAAGACAAUACAAACUAAUCCAUUACAGCAGCCCACAACUCUGACACCAGUAAAGGGAUUUUUAAAUGGUGGAUAAUUAAUGUCAACAGUUUCAGUAGUUGGUGCACACAAUAACGAGCUAAGAGAACACUGUUUGAGACGGCAUAAGUUAGGAUCCCACCACAAAAUAAGCACCCUUCGGCUGUCUGUUAAGCUAUUGAUCAAUUUUAGAUGGGCUCUGAUGAAUAUCGGGUCGUCAAUUAAUUCCCUCGCUUGCUUUGAAGCGCAACUGAAUUGCACGAGGUAUUUCAAUGGCAGCCCGGAGAGGAUCUUACACUGGACGUCAAAGGGAAGGUCGAAAAGGUUCUCAGGAGGGGAUCGCUUCUCGAAAAGGGAAGGAGGGGAUCGCUUCGGGAAUGCAAGUAUGUUUCCCAUCUGUUUUAAGUGAUUUGCUUUUCGGUUGGAGGAUCUUUUUGCUGCCAAGAAAGGAAGAAAUAGCUGGGCUAGUGUUUCAGAGGAUGCAUAUGACCUGUUGACUUUCCCGGUACCGGCAAAGACUCCGAGCGGGUUGAAGGCCGCCGGGCAAGUCAGUUGGACUACUGAGACUGGGAGUGCCAAAUUCAGUGUCCUUACGACUACUUAUGUCACAUGAUGUCAAGAAAAUUUAAAAUGAACAACACGUGCAAACUUAAAUAAUAUGACAGUUGGUAUAAAUAUAAAAAGGGAUAAUUUCAGAAACCUUCUUGAGAUUUUUAAUAAUUUCAUUUAGCUCCUUUAAAAUUUUAAAAAUUACACAUACCUCCCUUAUCAUUUCAAAUAAUAACACUGUCCUUAAAUAUUUUAAUGAAAUUCCCUUGUUUGUUAUGCUUAUACUAAGUAUACAUGACUUUUAAAAUUAUUUUUUCAUUCUUUUUCCUUCUUAUUCCUUUUUUUUUUUAAAUUUUUUUGCCAUUAAAACUAUAGAGCUACCACUAUUACCUCUAGUUUCUAUUGUAUCCAAAUAUCGAACUAGUGAUUUUUUUGAUGAGUUAACUUAUAUGUAAUUUAAUAUUUUUGCUGAUCUUUGUUUUCUAUUUUUUUGGUAUUAAAAUUAAUAAAAAAAUAAAAAAGAAAUGACCCAAAACUACUACUAAAUUAUGAUAAUUUCACUACUCGAAAAAUUCAUAAAUUCAAAAUAAAUUAUUUCAACAUUUUAUUUUCUAUCUUCUAAAUCUAAAUCCACAAUAAAAUAUCAUCAAAAAGACCUAUCAUAGUGAUAAAUUUAUUAAUAUAAUUAUUUAUUAAAUAAUUGGUAUGGACAUGAAAAAAUUUGGCACAUUUUCCUUAAAAUUAUACUAGAUAAUCUUAUAAUUGUAUAAGGAAAUAAAUUAAAACUCAUUAUACAAAGGUAUUUUUCGGUAUUCAUUCAAAAAUUUGAUCAAGUCAAUAUUAUUUUAAGAUUUUGUUAUUAUAACUAUCCAAUCAAAGGAGAUAGGUGUAAUUUUGUUACUAAAACGUAAGUGUAAUAUUUUUUUUAAAAAUAUGAAAUACGCUUAUAAAAUUUAGAUUUUCGCAGGCUCUAGUAAUUUCUAGAUUGAACAUUGAUAGAUUGAGAGUAAUUUGUAGCUUUUAAUUAUGUAUCCAUUGUCACAUUAAGAGUAAUUAUAGUAAUUCACAGUCAUUUGUAAACGAUCUCUGUCAUUUUCUUGGGAGUUCCUUUUUUGACUUUUUAAAUAACUCCUCACAUUAACCCAUCCCGCAAAGUACCCAAAGUGUGUGUACGUAAUCUAGGCCGGUCUCGGCGUCUGCUCUUACCUUACAGAAACAAUAUACAACUACAAGUACGUAUGUACUACUAAUCAAUGCUAACCAAACAACUACACUUAAAAUAGUUGUGAUCAAUAGUAUCUUAACGCUCUAUUUGGGCCUACAUUCAAAUUCAGACUUUUCAGUAAGUGAUUAAGUCACCCCGCGUCCUCUCUUAACCUCUUUGGAUUCCUCUAAUAUGAGUGUGUUCGAUUGUAAAUUAUUUGAGAUAAUUUUGUGAAAAAAUACUGUAGUACUUUUUGAUAUGAUUUAUGUGGGAUAAAAAGGUGAUUCGAAAAUGUGUUGAUAAUAUAAGCAAAUCAGUGUGUGUAAAUAAGGUAUAAAUAAAGUGAAAUAAUUGACAAUCUAGACACACUCAUAGAGUAAAUCUUUCUUUCACUGACGAUGUAUGAGUAAAUCCUACAUGUAGAUCUGAUUACAAGAAUACUGUUUUUUAUCUAACUAUGUAAACUUAGCCAGUUGAACUAGCUCAUAUAUCUAAGGUUAAUGAGUGUAGAAAACUAAUGAGGAAUAAGUUCUUGAUUUUAUAUGUAGAUUCAGCCAAUAGAGGAGAUUGAUUACCACAUAAAAUACUCUAGUAAUGAGAUGUGAAACCUGUAGGCUGUAAUAAUUAAAGUUUGUUUGUCAUAUAUCCUCCAUCAUGAAUAGAUUCCUGAGCCAAGUCAUUCUUUUCAUUCCAUGAAUAAAAUUGGAAAGGAACACAGUCUGCAUUAUUUUGUUCUCUCUAUAUUUAUAUGCCAUUACAGCAAUUAUAUAGUCUCUAUCCUAACCAGGAUUUUUUUUUUCCUGAUCUUCCCGUCUCAGUCUUUAAUGUUGCAGACUAAGAGGCAAUUUGGUGAGUGCUGACUGGACACACACACACACUUCCUGCUCAUUGCACAACAAACAUCAAGAAGCAAAAUUUCUUUCCAUUUGGGAACAACGGCGGCCAGCAGAACAUUUUCUUAAGGUUUUUUUAUGAUAAAGUGCUUGUGUUCAAUUCCAGCGCUUGAAUACAAAACCUCAUUUUGUCGCACCAAGCAUCCACCCUUUUGUGUUGAGAUUCAAAUUAUAUGUUUAGUUUUGCCCAAGCGAUCAUGGAAACAAUUUUGGAAAUAAUAGAUCAGCAAUCAAUUUCAACCCAGGGGAAGGCUAUGUUCUUGUUUUCUCUCGUGAUUUUCUUGUGGAGUGCUUUUUAGUCUUGCCAACCUCACCACUUACUGACCAGAAAUCCAUGGUGUACUUGCGUUGUGCUUUAAUCGGCCCUUCAACAUGUCAUAAUUUGUGAUCUCGUGAAACCUGAAUGAUGCAUCAUCUGGAUUAUAGGGAAAAAACUGAUCCAGAAAGCAACAAAAUGUUUCGCCCUUCUCUAAUAGGCAGAAUGCUGGUGAUCAAGCAUUCAACACCAGAACCAUUUCAUAGAGGCAGAACAAGUGCUUCAUUCCAUAGUCUUUCAUCCUAUACUCAUUCAUCAACCAUAUGCUGCCUGCACUACUUGCAUUACCGUCCUAAAGCAGACAAAGAAUGCCUCCCAAACUCCUUAUGCUAAACCACAACCACCAUCCUCCUUUCAUAAUUAGGUAGCUUCCCGAAAUCAAUGUACAGAAGGCCAAAUCAAAGCAGCCAAUAAACCUUCCCGUGUGCAACAACAUGCCUGAGCAGUCCAAACGAACCCAGAGCUCUUGUAAACCCCCGUAAGACUUCAUAAUCAUCGCCGGACUCAUCAUAAAUAAAUCGAAAAGUAUACUCCUAAUUAGGCUAAACUGGAAAACCAGACCUGGUCGACUGCUUAAAUUUUCUAAAAUCACGGGUCCCAGAGAGAUAAAUCAUCCCUAUCCUGAAUAUAUACAUCAACUCAAAGCAAAAACACGAGAAAUUUGUUUCAUUGGGUGUCAAUGUCAAUUACAUUGGUGAUUGGUGCAGUUGGUAAAGAUUGAAAAGUACCGUCCUUGAAACAAACAAUUGGUCAGCAAUUGCUAAACAUGAGCUUAAGAUGGCUCUAAUCAUGCUUAUCUAGGGAAAUUUUGAGGAGGAAGGAGAAGGAGAGCGAGGAGGAGGGAGAAGGAGGGAGGUGGCGGUGGCGGUGGCGGCGGCGACGGUGGAGGGAGAUGGGUGGUGGUGGGUAGUAUUUUGAGAUGUUGUGUUGUUUAGAGUUAUGACUAUAGAUUUGAAAGACAAAAUUGGUUUAUCAGAAACAUCGCCGAAGUUUUUUAGGCGCACUCCAAUUUUGAGAGAGACUUUACUUGGGAGUCUUUAGAGCAUUUAAGCGAUGAGUUUACAGGGAAGCUCUGAAACUGGGAAAUGUUCAGAUUUUGGGUGGGAGUGGAGGAAACUCAGAGUCUGGCAUUUGUGCCUUAAGUUGGGUUUGUUUGAUUACAGCAGGUUGAAGUUCUUUCUCUCGCCAUGGUGAGGUCUGCUUUGGCUGGAGUUCGCAGCAACCAGGCAAAGAGCUUUGAGCUUCAACGGGCUUUGUACCUCUGUUUUCUUGUUCUAGUUUGGACAAGUUUACCUGUUUUCUUGAACUACAAAUUGUUCAAGGCCUAAUAAGAUAGCAGUACUAGGGAAUUACUGGCGUUCUCCUGGUACAAAGUUCUUUUUUCUACUAUGGACGUCAUAGUAUCAACAAAAGUUACAGUGAUUUGGAGCUAAAUUACACUUUUGCAUCAUGAAUUAACUGUCAAAGAAUAACCACUCGAAUGUAUGCAAUUUUAACAUCGCACAAAAGUGAACAUGAAGCCAGAAGAGAGAUUAGUCCCCCUAAUUCUUGUGUCGUUGUAUUCCCAUUUUCAAUGACGGAGCCAAGGGGGCUGAGGGGGGCUAAGUUGUGAAAAUUUUAAUUCAUAAUAUGUAAAUAUAUGUAUAAGACAAAGUUGGUCCCCGUAAUGUAAAAAAUGUUACAGUAAUCAUUUCAAAUAAUACUCUAUCCAAAUAAUAUUCCAUUUCAAGAUCAAAACAUAAAAGGUUAUCAUGCCUUUCCUUGUACACAAAGCCUAGUUUCGCCUUACUCUGAGGAGGAGAAGGAGGCCAUGAGACAAAAGAGGGGGCAAAAGAAAGGGAAAAUCGUCCAAAACGUCCUUCACAUUUUGUAAAAUAACUUUUUUCGUCCCUCACUUUUAAAAGUGUAAUUUUAUAUCCCUUACAUAUUCACAUCGGACAAAUUUAGUCCCUAACUAGGUUUCCGAUCAUUUUUUGGCCGGAAUCCAUCAUGUGCAAGGCACAUGAUCAUUUUUGAAGAGUAAAUUAUAUUUUACAUAAUCUCAUCUAUAGUCCUCCACAUUUUAUAAAAUAAAUUUUUUCGUCCCUCACAUUUUAUAAAAUGAUUUUUUUCAUCCCUCACAUUUCACAAAAUGAAUUUCUUCAUCUCUCACAUUUCACAAAAUGAAUUUUUCAUUUCUCACUAAUUAUGUGUGUGAAUACAUUUUUUUAAACACACAUAUAUGUCUAUUUGAUUUUGCUUAAUAAUAAUAGUAUAAACACAUGUAUGUAAUUCGGCUCAACUUGUGGGCUAUUUUCUUUUUUUUUGUAUGAUUAUGACUAAUAUUUACCAAUAGAAUCUUAAUUUGCAUAUUCUUAUUGUAUUUUGACCGAAAAUAGCUUUAUUGGCUAAUUUGACAAUGAAUGCAAGAUUAUUUAUUAGCUAAUACCAGAUGAAAUCAAAUGAUCACGUAUAAUAUAUGGUAUUCGUAUUGUUAAGUGAAAUCAAAUAGACACAUACAUAUAUUUAUACUAUUCGGAUUAUUAAGCAAAAUCAAAUAGACAUAUACUUGUGUUUAAACAAAAUAUAUUCACACACAUUUUUUUUAGGGUUUCCCUCACAUACAUAAUUAGUGAGGGAUGAAAAUAUUCAUUUUUUGAAAUGUGAGAGAUGGAGAAAUUCAUUUUGUGAAAUAUGAGGGAUGAAAAAAUCAUUUUAUAAAAUGUGAGGGAUGAAAAAAUUUGUUUUAUAAAAUGUGGAUGACUAUAGAUCAGAUUAUGUAAAAUAUAAUUUGACAAAUUUACCCUUCAAAAAUGAUCACGUGCAAGGCACGUGAUGGAUUCCGGCCAAAAAAUGAUCGGAAACCUAGUUAGGGACUAAAUUUGACCGAUGUGAAUAUGUAAGGGACAUAAAAUUGCACUUUUAAAAGUAAGGGAUGAAAAAAGUCAUUUUACAAAAUGUGAGGGACGUUUUGGACGAUUUUCCCCAAAAGAAACAGAUAUGAGACGAAUGAAUACCAUCAAGCUACCAUCAAGCUGCUUGGCUAGACAAAAAAGAAUACCAUCAAGCUACCAUCUUGAUAGAAAAAAAAAGGUUUGUCCUCCUUUUCCAACUAAUGCAAUUCUUGUUAUCUACAAAGCAUAAUUCUGCAUUUUGUGACACUCGACUACAUAUAGCACAUUUUCAUUGUUGCAGCAUUUUCUUUCUUUUUAACACAUUUGAUAACUGAUGAUGUUAAGAGUCAGCAGCUCAAAAUUGCAUUAAAAAAAGCGUUUGGAUUACAAGAUUUUUUAAAAAAAAAAUUUAAUUUUGUUUUGCUUGCAUCACACACACAAUUUUCAACCACCUUUGUAUUUUACAUGUAUCACAUCACAAAAAAUCACAAAAAGUGUUACAGGAUUCAUCUCAAAUAAAUAUUUCAAAUAACUUCCCAUAAUUAUUUUUUGUGUGUUUAUUCAUUUUCUUGUUUAUUUUAUGUUAUCUCUGUAUAGGCAAAAUCACAUACACCAGAUAAGGGGAAUGCCUAACCAUCAAAUUCCCUGUACAACCAUGAAAUAAAGUAUCAGCAUCUAUACAAGAAAGCAUGAGAUGGUGAAGCUACUUCCAUGAUCACAAAUUGAAGCUAAAUCAGCAUACAUUUUGCAACAGGUGGACCCUUUAAUUGGUGUCAAUCUCGUUCACUUGCCAACUUUAAGGUAAAAUGGGUAGUGAUGGAGCCAGGAGUUUUUACUUGGGAGGCCAAAAUUUUUUCGAACAAAAUUAUCUUAAUAUGUUAUGUUCAAAAUAAUUUUUAUUUAUUUAAAUAUGUAACAUCUUAAAAUAUCAAACAUUAAUUUUAUGUAUAAAGGUAUGUCUAUUUCAUAAAUAUGUAACAUAGUCAUAACUAAAUUAAGACAAGAAAUAACAUUUGAUUAAAUAUCUUAUAACAUCACAAAUCACCUAAGUUGCACAUUAUGAAAAGACGUUCCAAUAUGUCACUUGCGCAAAAACAAAAAUAUAACGAUGCAAUAUAAAUAUAACUAUUUUCAAUUUAAAAAAGAUAAAAGUUAUGUUAAUAUACCUUGAAAUUUCAUCCUCUUUUAUUAAAAGUAAAUUGAGAUUUACAUUCUUUUAUAGAACUAAAUUCAUGUAUAAUUGAAUCAAUGCUAAAUUUUUGAACAACUUCCUUUUUUUAUGUACAUUGUUAGGCAAUCAUUCAAGAAAUUAUCUUUUAUCUUGUUUUGGAGCUUUGUUUUGAUUAUAUUCAUAAUUGAAAAUGUCCAUUCUAUAGUUGCAGUUGACAUAGGAAGAGUGAGAACAAAUAAUUGUCAACAACAGGAUAGAUCACUCAAUUUCUUGUCUUCACCAAGCCUUCAAGUAAUUAUUUGUAUAUUUGUAUAUGGGUCAACAAGAGUAUAGAUCACUAAUUUUAAAUUUUUUAUCAAUUAGGCUAAGUUGUAUAUUUGUAUAUGGACCAAUAAAAUAAUUAUUUUUGUUUUAGCUCAUUGAUAAUUAUGAAUUGAGUCUUUUAUUAUAAUAUAUCAAAUUGGGUCAAUUUACUAUGGAUUAUCAAAUUAUAUAUUUUAUUUUUUGAAUGUUAAAUAAUUAGCACAAUAAAAAUAAAUAACUUUUUUUGAAGAAAAAAUUAAAUCAAAGAUGGCUGAUUCAUACACACACACACACAUAUAUAUAAACUCUAUCGGAAUAUAAACUAAAAUCGUAAAAAAUUAGAGAAGGCCAACUUUGUCUUAUACAUAUAUUUACAUAUUAUGAAUUAAAAUUUUCAAAACUUAGGGCCAUAGCCUUCCUCAGCCCCCUUGGCUCCGUCAUUGGUACUAGUGGUGUACAUGGAUCCCGAAGGCGUUAAGUUUAAGGUCUAUAGUUCCAAGGAUGGAACCUGGAAGACUAUAGAGUAUUUUCAAGGUGGUUGCCCUCCGGUGGGGUACUGUGGUAAGUUUGUGAAUGGGAAGUUGCAUUGGUCACUGGAAGGAGAUGCUGGUGGAUAUAUUAUUGAUUCUCUUGAUUUAGCAACAGAGAUGUAUGGACGGAUAGAGAAACCUAAAAAUUGGCUGUGAUGAAGAUUCUAAAUCUUUGUUUAAGCCAACCUUGGAUGUUUUCCAAGAACUCCUUUGUUUACUUUAUCUUGCUAAUGAUGGUCGUACAGAUGUUUGGGUUAUCAACACAGGGGUAUCGAGUAGAGAUGGCAACGGGGCGGGGUUGGGGCUGGGGAGAGGCGGGGUUGGGGCGGGGGACCUCUCCCCCGCCCCCCGCCCCGUUGCCUAUUAGUUCCCCCCGUCCCCCGCCUCCCCCCGCCCCCACCCCGCCUUGCCCCGCUUCUCCCGCGGGGUUAAUAUAAUUUUAUUAUAAUUAAAUUUUAAUAAAUAACCAAGUACUAAAAUAUCAACACAUCACCAAAUUAUUAUUCAUUGUAAUUUUACAAUUGAAACUCAUAAAAAUAAUCAAACAGAAGAUAUUUGAAUACUAUCCAAUAUGAUGAAAUAAAUAUAACUAAAAUAAUCAAGUUUUCACUUUUAGUACAAAUGCAAUCACUAAUUCAUUAUUGUGUUUGUACUUUUUUUUGAGAAAAAAGUGUUAUUCUAUUAAGCGUAAUUAGAAAUUUAGUAUAAAUGUAUUAGUAAAUUUAGUACAACUAAUUAAUAAAUUCUAUUAGUAGACAUCUAUAAUUAUUCAUAUAUCAAUUAUAUUACAUAAACUAAUAUACAUUAUAUAAUACAUCUAACUAAUAAUAUCAUUAUUAUAAGUUUAUAACUAAUUAACUUACAUAUUAUAUAUAUUUAUAUACAUAUAUAUAUUUUUUGUUUUGCGGGUGACGGGGCGGGGGUAUACUCCCCCGCCCCGUUUCUAAGCGGGGGGAAAAAAUUCCCCCCCCCCGCCCCGUGAGCCCCCGCGCGGGCACCCGCCCCCAUUGCCAUCCCUAGUAUCGAGUCAUUGCCGGACUAAUCCCCUGGGCUGUACAGAGUCCCGCCCAAGAAUGUACAGCAAUUUCGUGCAGCAAAAUUCGAACUAGUGACUUACGAGAUACUACCGCAUGUGGUCACCAACCGAGCUCCCUGUUGGGGGCUAAAGUUAGUUAGACUACUGGGUGCCAAAUUUCUACUACUUAUGUCACAUGAGGUUUUUAGAAACCUCCCUUGAGGUUUUUAAUAAUUUCCUUUAGCUCCUUUAACAUUUUAAAAAUUACACGUACUUCCCUUGUCAUUUAAAAUAAUAAUACUGCUCUUAAAUAUUUUAAUAAAAUUCCCUUGUUUGUUAUGCUUAUACUAAGUAUAAUGACUUUUAAAAUUAUUUUUUCAUUCUUUUUCCUUCUUAUUAUUUUUUUUAAAAAAAUUUUUUUGCCAAUAAAACAAUAGAGCUAUCACUAUUAUCUCUAGUUUCUAUUAUAUCUAAAUAUCGAACUAGUGAUUUUUUUGAUGAGUUAAAUUAUAUGUAAUCUAAUAUUUUUGCUGAUCUUUGUUUUCUAUUUUUUUUGGUAUUAAAAUUAAUAAUAAUAAAAAAGAAAUGGCCCAAAACUACUACUAAAUUAUGAAAAUUUCACUACUCGAAAAAUUCAUAAACUCUAAAUAAAUUAUUUCAACAUUUUAUUUUCCAUCUUCUAAAUCUAAAUCCGUAAUAAAAUAUCAUCAAAAGUAUCCUACCAUGGUGAUAAAAUUAUUAUUAUUAUUUUUUUAUUAAAUAGUUGGUAUGGACAUGAAAAAUUUGGCACAUUUUCCUUAAAAUUAUACACGAUAAUCUUAUAAUUGUAUAAGAAAAUAAAUUAAAACUGAUUACACAAAGGCACUUUUGGGUAUUCAUUUAAAAAUUUGACCAAGUCAAUAUUAUUUUAAGAUUUUGUUAUUAAAACUAUCAAAUCAAGAGAGAUAGGUGUAAUUUUGUUACUAAAACGUAAGUGUAAUAUUUUUUUUUUUAAAUAUGAAACAAACUUAUAAAAUUUUAGAUUUUUGCAGGCUCUACUAGUUUCUAGAUUGAACAUUGAUAGAUUGAAAGUAAUUUGUAGCUUUUAAUUAUGUAUCCAUAGUCACAUUGAGAGUAAUUCAUAGUCAUUUGUAAACGAUCUCUGUCUUUUUCUUGGGAGUUCUUUUUUAACUUUUUAAAUAACUCCUCACAUUAACCCAUGCCGCAAAGUAUCCAAAGUGUGUGCGCGCAACUAACGUAGGGCGUCUUCUCACACUUGACAGAAACUAUAUAUCAAUACAACCACUUUAGUACCACUAAUCAAUGCUGACCAACCAACGACAAUUAAAAUAGUGGCGAUCAUUAUCAAUAGAGUCUCAACGCUUUAUUUGGACCUGCAUUCAAAAUUCAGACUUUUCAGAAAAGUGAUUAAGUCACCCGAUUCCUCUCUUAACCUCUUUGGAUUCCAACAACACAGUACUACCUCCGUCCCACUUUAAUAGUUCUGUUUCUUUUUUCACACAGUUUAAGAAAAAAUAGUUAAUUUUGUUGAAAAAAUAAAUUUAGAUUGCUAUUUUUCUAAAAUAUCCUCAUAUAAAAUAUGGUACAACUUUAUGGGAACUUGAAUUGAUGGUAACAAAAGAAUCAACUCUCAUUAAAUGGGAUAGAUUUAUAGUAACAACUACUUACAUUGAAUAAGAGUAUUUUAGGAAAAUUAAAAUACAGCUAUAUUCUUCAAUUGAAAAGUGGACUAUAAUUUGGGACAGAUGAAAAAGAAAUACAGGACUAUCAAAAUGGGAGGGAGAGAGUAUUAGAUAAAAGAUAGUUGUAUAAUAGAAUUUAUCGUAUUAAAAAAAAAAAAUCAAUGCUGGCCGUCUUGGGUUUGGACUACUGUUCAUAAAAUGUAGAGGUGUCAAAAUGGGUGACUUGGACGGAUUGGGGUUGGGUAAAAUGGGUAAUGGAUAUAAGUGAGUCAAUUCAUUUAUACCCAUUUAAUUAGAUGGGUAUAAAUGGGUAAGUCAAAAAAUGAAUUGGGUAACCCAAUUACCCAUUUAUAGCUCAUUUAUUUUAAUUUUUUGCAAACUCAUUUAAAUUCAUUUUUGCAAACUAAGUUAUCAAUUUAUACCACUCUUUGUACCCAUCAUUAGUUUUAAAUAUUUAUUUAUAAUGCUCAAUAAACUUAAUUACCAAUUUUUUUUCAUUUAUACUCUAUGUCACAAAAUUACCUAUUAUUUAAUAAUUGAAUAAUAUGAAUAUAAAAAUUUGAAUUAAGUACUAUAAAAAUUAAUAUAAAAACUUAAUCCAAAAAUUUUGAACCCCUAACAUUUUUUUCAUAUAUAAAUUUAAAAUUUUAUUUUAUAAAGAUAAGAAAAUAGGCUAAAAUUUAUCAUAAAUUGGUAAUGUUAAAAAAUGAACAAGUUAACAAACUAAGAAAAAAUAAAAUAAUAAGAUAAAACCAACAAAUAAUAAUAAUAAUAAUAAUAAUAAUAAUAAUGUUAACAUCAUGACAAAAUGAAAAAUUUGAAAAAAAAAAGGGUAGGGGAAAAGAAGAGACUUGGGGGGAAGAGAAUUUUAAAUAUGUUAAUUGGGUUUGAUGGGUUAUCCAAUAAUACCCAUUUAUUAAAUGGGUAUUAUUGGGUAACCCAUUUAUACCUAUAUACAAAAAUUUAAGAUACCCAUACCCAUCUAUUCAUGGAUGGGUAUGGGUAAAUCUAGUUAAGUGGAUUGAUUUGCCACCUCUAAUAAUAAAAUGACUUAAAAGUGGAGGAGAGGGCUGAAAGAAUUGCGGAGGCCGAAAGAGGCUGUGUAAAAAUCGCUUGGUAUCUUUGCAGUAGUCAUAGGGCAUGCAUUUUUGUCCGAUCCAAUUCAUCUGUCCUAGUUUGGCAAAGUUGAGUUGAGCAUAUGCUGGAGAUGUCCACCACCAGUUGCCAGGGAAAGGCAGGGCACAUUGCUAAGUGGUCCAUUCCAUGUGCAAGCCCUUGGUCUAAAAUUGCGGAUUCUAAGUCAGUCGCUAUGGUGCAAAUUCUAAAUCUGCACGGUAGCGACUGACAACUUAUUUUAAUUGUCGGCCGCUAUCGUGCGCAGUCAGCAUGGUAGCGAUUGGAUUGAUGGUUUUAUAAAAAAAAUUUUCAGUCGCUAUUAGUUUUGUGCAUAACCCUUGUCAGACAUACAUUUUAUCGAAUUUUUUUUUUUGGUAUAUUCUGAGAAAUUAGGUCAUUCCAAUUAGGUCGCUCCAACCGAAUUUUGGACAAUGAUGAAAUAAAAGUCUCAUUUGAUAGUUACUUUUAAGAGUUUUUAUAAAAAAAUUUAUUAUUAUACUCGAAGUUAAAAAAAAAAAAAAUUGAGAAAGUACUAUAUCAUAACCAUACCAUCUCCGUCAUAGCUUUUAGUGACUUAUUCAUUAGUCAUUUUUAUAUCGGGGGAGUGGUUAAAUUUCAAUUGCCAUUGGAACUCGUGGGAGAAAGUUUUGUGAUAUUUUCUUUUUAAUCGGAAAUGUACGAGUAAAUUUGUUGUAUCUUCAUAUCACGUAGGAUUGAAUACAUUAAUUAAUGUUUGUUUGGAUAAAAGUUUAUUUGGAUGAUUUAUUUGAGAUAAUUACUGUAGCAUUUGUUGUGAUAUGAUAUAUGUGAGAUAAAAAAGUGAUUGGAAAGAUAAAAAUGUGAUUGAAAUUUAUGAAGCAAAUUAUUUUUUUUCAAUCUAUCUCAAUCCAAACACAAACUAUGUGAAAAAACGUAGUACACCUACAAAACAGUAAAAUAGUCUUGCUGUGUCACACGGGGCGAAAUUCAAUGCCUUCGACAAUAAGGCCCGACUUCCCAUGAAGGCUAAUAAUCUCUAUCAGUCGAGCCUCCACCUGACCAUCAUCUCCUCUAUCAGUAUAAAACUUCCCCAGUUCUAAUUCCAUCCAGCCAUCUGUUCUCAUUUUGGGAAACUUUCCACCAAAUUCUGCUGGAUGAUUCAUACCUUCCCUUGAUACAAGAUGGACAGGUGCAGCUCUUCUUUUGGCCUCACCGUCACUCUCAUGGUUUACAAAUCUGAUUAAACUUGUUGCUUUUUCAAUCCCAUAAUACUCCUCUGCUAUCUUGAACACUAGGAAAGCUGCAUAAGUGGUACCAGUAGACAACAUUUGACUUUCUAUCCUGCCUCUGAUAUCCAGCCAACAAACAGCCUUAAGCUUGGCAACCUCUCUGAAUCUGCGAAUGCAAAAGAUUGGCACAUUAUAAUCACACUAGCAAAGGGGUUUGGGUGUGGGGGUGAUUGGAGAUAUGAUGAGGAAGAACCUUGAGUCAGGACGAGAUAUCCAAUGCCAGUACCAUGGAUCUCUUGCCCAGGCAAUGAUGAGUUCUCUAGCCCCAACCAUAUAACAUUUCUUUCCACUCCUUUUAUCAACUGAAAAGCCCUGUUCAAAAGUUCAAACCAAAUGGUCGCCAAGGGAAAAUGGAAAACCACAGAAUUACAAGUUAUAGCCGGAAAUGUAACAGAAAGGGGCGUUAACCGUGCAUGUAAGGUUUGUGGGAUCUAAGAGAACUGAUAGAAGUUGGAUGAGUGUGAUUAAAUUGCAGAGUUCUGAACAGGAGGCAAUUUGAUCACAAAUUUUGAGUCCGGACCACAUUGUUUUAUGUUGCCUUAAAUAUUCUUAAUAGCAGCGUGCAUUACGGAAGAGACGAAUCCUCUAUGGUUCUCCUUUCAUUUUAACACUUCUUCAUACAACCGGAGGAUGCCUUUCUUAAUUCCUACUUGGAUCAGGCUAAUUUUACUUCUGUCUUAGCUAUAACAGCACAAACAUUUGAUCAAGGUUUCAAGCACAAGAAAGAGUACAAACAUAUAAAUAAAAAAAAAAAUGCAUCACAUUAGACACAAUGAUUACUCUUGUCAAGUUUGAGAGCAAGAUAUUACUUCAAUGUCAAUGCAAAUAAGUUUUAAGUAUCAAAGAAAUCAAGAAAAUAAGAACUCAAUAAACAGUUAAUAUGGUAUCUCUAAGCUUUAUUUUUAACAUUUCACCUUAAAAGCUUACCCCAACAACUUUGCUAUAUGUAUUGAAUUGUCACAAAUUGUAAUUUUCUGAGCAAAUUCAUACUUCCAAAGAAUACCGGGGACUGUUGCCAUAACUUUACCUACUAGUCAGCCAAAAUCAAAUCAUAGAGAACAAUUUAUUAACUACAAAAUCCGAUAACAGAAACGGAUAAGGGGUACCAUUCUGCCUCCAUCAAGGAGAAGAGGAGAAUCACAGAGAGAAAAGUAGAGGGCCUUUUUGGUUGAGCAAUCAACAGCAGAAUCUGAUCUUGAAAUGAUAUCUUGAUAAUCAGAUGGUAGAAAUUUCUCCCAAAUAGUAUCAGAAUCAGCAGCAGGCUUGAACCCUUUUGAGACAACUGAUGCUCUGAUCACAUCCACAGGUGAAGUGAGUGAUAGAAUCUCAGAUAUGAAGCCUUCUGGCAAUCUGGCAAAAGGGCCUUCCAUCUCAUAGGACAGCUGCUAUUCCACUGUUCUUCUUGCUUAACGUGGAAGUGAUGACUAGCCGACUGAACAGAGGCAAAUUCUUAUAGAAAAUAGCAAAGGAAUAGAGAAUAGAGUCUUAGCAGUUUUGAUUCAAUAAUCUGUAAUAAUUUUUAUUUUUCACGUCCUCUAUUGGUUACAAAAUAUAUACACGUCCUGUCCUUUACUAACGAUUGAUUAAUAAACCUUAACCUUCUUUGUUCUGAUGAUGACAAUUCUCCACUCAUAGCUUCAAAUUUGGCCUUUCACAAGGAACAACUCUACUCUUUGGGACAACAAAUUCAUUUCAAAGAGGUUGUUGUUGCAUCAUCAUGCACGGCACGUCCUUAGAAAAUGAAAGGCCACAAACAAAGAAAUAAAGAUGUGUACAUCCACAUCUAUGGACUAUAUAUAUGACACUACUACUGAGGUUGUUGUUCAUUUCAAAGAGGUUGUUGUUGCAUCAUCAUGCACGGCACGUCCUUAGAAAAUGGAAGGCCACAAACAAAGAAAUAAAACUAGGAUUCCAAUUCCGUCCUCAUCAAGCUAUUGACAUUUGACAAAAACAAAACAGUUUUAUUACUUCCAAGGAAUCGGAUGGCUAAAAACAAUAGCCAGUUUGAUGACAGCUGGAUGCAAAAGCGAUGGCAUAUCAUGUUUAGUGACACUUGAAUACGAGAAUUUUUGCGCCAUUGAAAGCAACACUUAACCAAAAACCAGACCUGUCACUGCAAACACAGAUUGGCAUUGAUGCAGAGAUGCCAGAAAGAUUGGUCCGCGGGAUCAUGCGCCAAUUACUACGUGGGAUGGGACAGGGAUCAGUAUUCAGUAGUAGUGUCAUAUAUAUAGUCCAUAGAUGUGGAUGUACACAUCCACAUAGUCCAUAGAUGUGGAUGUACACAUCUCUGUUUGGCAAAGCUAGCUGCCAAGCUUAGCUCUCAAUCUUUUGACUGUCCUCCUGUUCUUUCACCGCCCAGCUUAUUUUUAACUUAAACUUUUCUGGUCAAUCUUUCACAUGCAUGGUUGCAAUCUUUUUCUUUUCUAAAAAAGAUUUAAGUAGUAGUAAACAAAUUGAUAUGGUGCAUUUUAGUGGAAUAUUUUGGACAUUAUUGUAUAAUUGUUUGAUUAAAUAUUUCAUUAAUUGAGUGAAUUCUACUCAGAUAUGAUUUUGGUGCUAAUUGUAGGAACUAAGACUAAAAAGUGCUUAAAAUCAAAAUUUAGAGAAUUCGUCGUACGUGGAGCACUUCAAACAGUGGGAUCCGCUUGAGAAGUUGAAGAAAUUAAAUUGUAAUAAAUUUUAUUUUAUUUUAUUUAGAGAAUCUUGUUUAUUUUGAAUGCCAAUUUCCGGUAAGAGGAGGCCUUUUCCUUGAAUUUUGGGGCUACCAAAACAAAAGGGAAGAAGUAUUAGAUUCCCAGGGAACUGCUUGUUUUUGGGGAGAUUUUCGUUUGGCUGAGGUUUCUUUUUUCGUUUUGCUUUUGAAUUUCGUGGGCCGUGGCUUUGAAAACAAUGAGGAGACAAAAGCCACCGGUGUUGACCUUGUGAAUGUUUUUUUUUCCAUUGGGUAUUGACGGAAUUGAGAAAGCAAGCAAAAACCCCUUUUUUUUUUUUCUCGUACGUUUUGCUUAGCAACUAGGAGAAGCAAACGAGAGCCGCCAUUGUGGAUGUGGACCCUUUGACUUUGCUUUUCACUUGAUCUUGACCGAAAUUGGAAGACAACAUCAUAUCAUCUUAUUCGUAUGCUUUUGAGAACAAUCGGAAGCAAUCAAAUUUCUUGCGUUUUUCUCUUGUUGUUGACCGAAACUGGGAGAGGUGAUUUGAAAACGUUUCCAACUCCACACGCGCGGCUUGUUCUCUAAUUAUGGGAAACUAAACUCCUUAUUCUAGUCAGAGGAUGACUAACGAAUUGAUUCAAUAAUUACUGUGAGAUUUAAAUCAUUUUUAAUUAUUUUCUUUAUUUAUUGAUAUUUAUAUAUUCCCUGCUUUUAAUUGUUAUAGUCCUUGUGUAUGAUUGGUUAGUGCGUAAUAAUUAAUUAUUCAUAUAGGCUAUUUUGCUGAAUAGGGUAAUUAAAUCCGUAAUUAUUCGUUAUCUCUAUCUCAGUAGCAACUGGCGUAAUUAAAUUUAUGUUAGGAGAAUAUACAAUCUAAUUUAAACAAACCCUCGUAGUGUGUUUGUUAGUUAGGAUUGGACAUUUCUAAUUAUUAAUGCAAUCUAGAAAUUAAAUCCCACGGUCAUACCUAGAGUUAUUUUUGGGUUAGAGAAAUAGUUAACGGUCGUACCUUAACUAUCGAGAAAUUAAGGAAAGGUUGGUUGUUUAUCGCGUGUAUGACAACUAUAACCAAUCUAUUAAUAAAUGUGGAAUUAUCUGUGAAUCGAUGAUCAGUGCAUGAACCAUUUCUGAAGUGUACCCUUAACUAGAGUUCUCUUAAUUAUUUCUCUUAAGUAAUUAUUUUCUACAGUUAAUUUAUUUAGUUAGCAUUUAAUCGUGAAAACCCCCAUUUGUCUUGAUUCGAAAGGAAACAAAUUUUUCUCCAAUCCCUGAGGAGACGACCCUGCUUACCACUGUCUACUAGUUAGUGAAUUCAGUUAAAUAAUUAAUUCAGGUAUAUCGGAUUAAACAAACUUUUCGAGAACAGGGUGAAUCAAGUAACCCAUUACACACCUAAAAUCCCUGCUCGAAGUACUAGAAUUGAUUAUUGACUGCUUCAGGUGGUAGUUAGGUUUUAUUUAUUAUUAUUACACAAGUUUGAUACCUGUCACAAAUUUCACACGUAUAACUCCAACUUUUGAUUACUCACCGUCUUCGCCUUCACCAAUGAGAGUAGAUUAAACUUGUACUUCACAUAUAAUAUUCUUGUUAAUUCUGCCUUGUCAAAGAAUUCCUCCAUAUGGACCCAUUCACUAAUGAAAACCACCAUAGCUUCUCACAUGAUAAUUGUUCACACAAUUUCCAAAAAAACAUCAAAUCAUAUCUUUCUUUUUGCCAAUUAUUUGCAAUUCCACAACUCUUCAGAAGGAAAAAAGAAAAUAAUUAGUUUUGUUUUUCUUGUCCUACAGCCUAAAGCAGCCUAUGCUCCCUAUCGAACAUCAUAAUAAGCAUCAAUGUACCAAGAACAUUGCAUAAAACCCAAAACAUGUUUUGACAGUCCAUGGAAACAAAAAAAAAAAGAAACAAAAGAAAGAAUGAUAAAAAUGGUUCAAUAUUAUAAAUAACUAAAGUUAUGUUUGAGUUAGUUCUUAGAAUCCUUUAUUAAUAAAUUCAUUUUUUUUUUUUUACAUUUCUACAUAAUACUCUUGGGCUUUUAAAUUUUUGCCAUAUGCUUUUGAUAGUAAAAGCUAAAAAUUAUUAAGAACACCGGACUGUUAAUUCAGCUGCUAUAAAAUAGACGUGUACACCUAAAAGAAAUAUAAGUACACACAUAAUGAUAGUUCCCAAAAGCAUGGAGAAAGCUACGCCCCACAACUAAUAGGAAAAUUCUAUGGUCCAUUUAAGUGCCAUUCUCUUUACUUGUAUCCCUCUGGGGAUAAUAAUUUAAAUUUUUAAUUUUUAAUUUUAAUGAUGUUUAAUUUAAGAUUCAAUAACACUUCUUUCACCAUUCCACAAUGAAUUUCAUUUGUACAUUCCCUCUACUUGUAUCUGACUUGAGAUAAUAAAUUUAAAUUUUAAAUAUUUAAGAAUGUUUAAUCUAAAGGUUAAUAACACUUCUUUUACUAUCUAACGAUAAAUUUCACUUUUGAGUAUGAUACCCAAAAGAGACUGCAAAAUCUUCCCAAUUAAUAACUAGCUAAUGCUAGCCAAACUUAUUAUUACUGUCAAUGUAGGGAUAAGAAGAUUCUAGUAUCCGUUGAACGGUGCAUUAUACAUGUUAACGUAAUAGAUGUAGAUACUAAAACAAUAAAUGUUGACAUUUCAUUGAAGUAGAAUUCAUCUUGACAGGUGUCGAACCUGUGCAAUAAUAAUAAAUAAAACCUAACUACCACCUGAAGCAGUCAAUAAUCAAUUCUAGUACUGGAGCAGGGACUCUAGGUGUGCAAUGGGUUAUUUGAUUCAUUCUGUUCUCGAAGAGUUUGUUUAAUUCGAUAUACUUGAAUUAAUUAUUUAACUGAAUUCACUAACUAGUAGACAGUGGCAAGCAGGGUCGUCUCUUCAAGGACUAGCAAGAAAUUUGUUUCUUUUCAAGUCAAGACAAAUAGGGGGUUUUAGAAUUAAAUGCCAACUAAAUAAAUUAAAUGCAGAAAUAAUUAAUUAAAAAAAUAAUUAGGAGAGCUCUAGCCAAGGAUACACUUUAGAAAUGGUUCAUGCACUGAUCAUCGAUUCACAGAUAAUUCCAACAUUCAUUGAUAGAUUAGUUAUAAUUGUCAUGCACGCGAUAAACAACCAACCUCUCCUUAAUUUCUUGAUAGUUAAGGUACGACCGUUAACUAUUUUUUUAACCUAGAAACAACCCUAGGUACGACCGUAGAAUUUAAUUUCUAGAUUGCAUUAAUAAUUAGAAAGGUUCAACCCUAACUAAUAAACACGCUACGAGGGUUUAUUUAAGUUAGAUCAUAUGUUCCCCUGACAUAAAUCCAAUUACGCCAGUUGCUACUAAGAUAGAGAUAACGAACAAUUAUGGAUUCAAUUAUCCCUAUUUAGCAAAAUAGCCUAUAUGAAUAAUUAAUUAUUACGCACUAACCAAUCAUACACAAGGCUAUAGCAAUUAAAAGCAGGGAACAUAUAAAUAUUAAUAGAUGAAAAAAAUAAUUAAAAACGGUUUAGAUCUCACAGUAAUUAUUGAACCAAUUCGUCGGUUGUCCCACGACUAAAUUUAGGGGUUUAGUUCCCCAUAUUUAGAAAACAAGCCGCGCAUGUGGAGUUGGGAGAAGUUUUCAAAUCAAUUCUCCCGAUUUCAGUCAAAAACAGGAGAGAAACGCAAGACAUUUGAUUGCUUCCAAUUGUUCUCCAAAGCAUACGAAUAAGAUGGUCUGAUCACUGAUGUUAUCUUCCAAUUGCGGUCAAAAUCGAGUGAAAAAGCAAAGCCAAAGGUCCACAAUGGCGGCUGGCUUCCUAAUUGCUCACAAACAUACGAGAAAGGCUUUUGCUUGAUUUCUCAAUUCGAUCAAUACAAUUGGAAAAGCAAUUUGCCAAGUCAACAAUUGGGGCUUGUGUCCCCUGAUUCUUUUACAGAGCUACGGGCCACCCCAUUCAAAAGCUACAAAGAACGAAAAGAAACCUAAGCCAGACGAAGAAACCUAAGCCAUUGGGGCUUGUUGUUUUGGUAUUCAAAAAUAAAAACAAGACUCCCUAAAGUGAAAUAAAAUAAAGUCUAUUAUAAUUUAGUUUCGUCAACUUCUCAAACGGACUCCACUGCUUGAAAUGCUCCCGUACAAUGAAUCUUCUGAAUUUCGAUUUUAAGCAUUUUUUAGCAUCAAAUCUUGCAAUUGGUACUGAAGAAGCGCUGAACUUCCCCGGAUCGAGCUGACCCGACUAACUCGGCGUGCUGAUGGAAGAACUGGUUCUAAGCCUGCAAAACAGAUGAGAAUGAACUAGCAAUGGGGGGCCCGAGGAUUGUCCCCGAGGGCACUCCGACGGUCAAGUUAAUUUUCCGGUGAGUCCAGUUCACGAGAGUAAGCAGUCGAGAGCCGUUUGCCAAUAGUGAGCGUACCUCUUUUUCCCACGGUGUGAGUUACCUUUCAUACCUGCUGAGGGAGUCCGGCCUCCGUACGUUCCGAGACCUGUCCAGAAUAGUCCAUAUCCCGCACUCAGGGGGAUUCCCCCCAACCUCUGCGGGAUGGCCUCCCAGGUUUUCCUGGAGCCCUAACAUCAGCGCGGCCCAGGAUGGCUGGCAGGGGCCUGGGGCCGAGGCCCAGCUUCGGCCCUACCUGGGCUGCCACGUGUCUAGACCCAGGACAGGGCCUCUGCAGGUACCAAAAUCAUAUCUGAGAAAAAUUCACCAAAUUAAUAAAAUAUUUAACCAAAUAAUUAUACAAUAAUGCCCAAAAUAUUCUACUAAAAAGCACCUUAUCACAUCUCUAGGGAGUAGAUUAGUCUUAUUAUAUUUUAGGAUAGUUGGGGAACAUGCACACAAGCCUGUACGUGGAACAGUAUCGGCCCUUAGCAUAGGCUGUAGAGGAGAUUUUCGUGCAUGACCAUGUUUCAAAUGUCUUUUCAAAGUAAUGUGACAGAAAAAGUUGUAUUUUUAUUUUAUUUUAUUUUGUUGUUUCUUGAACAGACCUGUUGCAUUGGGUGAGAGCUGAAAAUAGACUUGCUUCUUAAGGUUCCAUAGCACGAGUUGAAAAAUGUAAUUUGAUAAAGGAUGCAGAGCAAACUUUGCAAUCAAUUCCAUGUCACAGAAUCUCAUUUAUCAUGGCCUCACUGAUCAUCACUUUGCAAUGACACAAAGGAUCUCACAGUCAAAUUUGAUAAUCACCAACUUACAGCAUCUGUUCUCUGAAGCCACCUCUAUUCACUUUUUCUUGGCUGAUUUCCAUUUCUACCAGGUUAAAAAUAUAUGUAUUGGUACUUGGUAGUCCACUAUCUCAGGUAGACGCUGUAAUAUCUUGGUGAUGGAUCAGAUAGAUUGACAAUGCCCUUAAACUUUACUCUGCAAAUAUAUUUGCAUCCUAGAAGUCCUCUUGGUGGCUUUGUUUGGAUUGCAUUUUUCUGGAUUUUUUUUUUUUUUAGAAAAAUUACUGUAAUGAUUUAAUACAUUUGAGGUAAAAAGGUGAUGGGAAAAUGUGUUUACGGAAAACGUAGCAAUUUUUCUUUAGAAAAUUGCUUUCCAAACAAAGCUAUUAAUAGAACAGGGCCCUUCAAAUAUCAUAGCAUAGCAAAGCUAGCUAUGAUCCUUUGUUCUCUUCUUAUUACAUAUUUCCUUAUUUACUUACAACCUUCCAGUGGCAAGCCCAAAAGCUGAAAGCAACAUAUACUUGCAAAAGGUAAAGCAACUUCCAGCAUCAUCAGUUAAUCCUGAAAUGAUAAAUUUGCAGAUUCUCGACUUCAAGUUUCUUGAAAUUACUGCGCCUUCUGGAUGAGAAGAACUUCCCCCAGUU
RNAcentral lists this long non-coding RNA (29546 nucleotides) under Coffea arabica (coffee). Its description in RNAcentral is "long non-coding RNA (CARA_LNC002133)". Lineage: Eukaryota; Viridiplantae; Streptophyta; Magnoliopsida; Gentianales; Rubiaceae. The record is from RNAcentral.